UGGCAAGUAGUUUAAAUAAAAUAAAUGAUUUCGACUCAUUAGAUUAUGAUAGUCAUACUAGCCAA
RNAcentral lists this transfer RNA (65 nucleotides) under Trachypithecus phayrei (Phayre's leaf monkey). RNAcentral describes it as "tRNA-Arg". It matches the Rfam family "tRNA". From Rfam's summary of the family: Transfer RNA (tRNA) molecules are approximately 80 nucleotides in length. Their secondary structure includes four short double-helical elements and three loops (D, anti-codon, and T loops). Lineage: Eukaryota; Metazoa; Chordata; Mammalia; Primates; Cercopithecidae. The record is from RNAcentral.